Liolophura sinensis is the source of this 1427-nucleotide long non-coding RNA. RefSeq lists it as uncharacterized. NCBI's taxonomy places the organism in Eukaryota, Metazoa, Mollusca, Polyplacophora, Chitonida, Chitonidae. The record is from RefSeq and is a predicted model, not a curated record. The transcript has 3 exons.
CAUAUAUCCUAGCAGGUGUAAUUUACAAAAUAUAUUGAAACUUAACCUGUACAGCUACUCAAGGGUUGUUAUGUUUAUAAACCAUGUGUUUCUAGGUACGUGUCAGGUGAGAUUCAUGAAGUAUUUGAUUGGUGUACCGUUUCAAAAUAGCGUAUACAAUUCAGUUCUGAGAAAAAACAACUCCUCCUUCAAUGCUUGGUUUUCAUUAGUGAACAAAUAUUUUCAGUCGAACACUGGUGAUUCUGAACAAGGCUUUCACGGGGAACAUUUUGAUAUAAAAUUCGUGUAUUUAGACUUUCAGGCUGAAGCACUUCAAAUUUCUAAGCCCUUUGACAGAUUCGGCCCAUGGCCUACAUGCAGUAUUAGCUAUUACAUUUUCGAACAACUGGGCCGGGACUCGAACUAUCUGACCCACAAUUUAACAACGGUCACACACGUGCGUGUAUACAUGUAGGGAGCACUCAUCAGAUCUGCUAUACAUACUCUCCGACAUUAUAAACAGGGCGUAAUCAUACAUUGCGAGACCUUUCCGCUAUCCCGAGAAAUGACAGCUCCCGUAGGCCCAAAUCGAUCGUUCCUUCAAGACGACCAAUCACUGUGGAAGUCUUCGUCACGGGAUCUAGCGUUACGACGUGUGCAAAUAACAAGUUGGUUGACUUUGUGCAGAGUGUUUGCAUUUGUUGGAAAGCGAUAGAGACUAUUUUGGAGGACAGAGGAUUCUCUUCACUGACAGAUACUGAGGGAGCGAUAAAAUCUGCACUGGUGAAAAGAAUGCAACACUGACACUGUCUUGACAAAUUCAUUUCCAUCAGCGGUUCGGUGGGUAACAAACAGACCACAAGACGAGGUCACGCCUUCUGACUGCGCCAUUUUGUGAAGUUGUGAAGCACGGUGGGAUUUGUGUCGACAGUAAAAAACCGAGGGUGUAAUGGCUGAAAGCAAGGAAAAUCGUGAAGCAGUCCUCACAUGUCCGAUAUGUGUGGAAACAUUCCGCAAACCAGUAACGUUACCUUGUCAGCACAGUUUUUGCAGGGAGUGUAUUGGUGUGUAUGCUGACAAGUUUAAACCUGGACAGACAGAUGAGGUCUUCACGGGGAGUGAGGGUGUUCACCAGCUGAUCUCAUGCCCUGUAUGUCGGACACCAACCAGUCUGGGGAGAGAAGGUGUGGCUGGUCUGCCUCACAACUUUCAUCUGGCUGAAAUAGUGGAGAGGUUCUCUUCUGCUGUGAAGUUUGAGGAUGAUACCCCAUAUUGUUCUCUGUGUGAGGAGGAUAAUCAGGCUAAAGCUGUCAAGUUUUGUACCAACUGUUGUUUACUGUAUUGUAAAGACUGUCUGGUUUCUCUUCAUCCCAUGAGGGGGGCUAUGAAACGUCACUGGCUGAUUUCCUCCCUGGAGUACCUCUCUCAGGAAACCUCACAGCGACAGA